RNAcentral lists this long non-coding RNA (546 nucleotides) under Homo sapiens (human). RNAcentral's name for it is "HSALNT0044380". The record is from RNAcentral. Lineage: Eukaryota; Metazoa; Chordata; Mammalia; Primates; Hominidae.
CAGAAAUCACCCACCUCCUGCAUUGAUCUCGCUAGGAGCUGCAGACCAGAGCUGUUCCUACUCAGCCAUUUUGUUUUUGUAGGUCAAGAAUUCAGGCACAGUUCAUCUAGGUGGGUCCUCUGCCUCAGAGUCUUCAUGAGACUGUUAUUACGGUGUCAGCCCAGGCUGCAGUCAUCUUAACAUUCAACUGAAGUAGCAUCCACUUCCAAUUUCACUCCAUGGUUGCUAGCAUGAUACAGUUUCUCACAAGCUACUGGACUGAGAACCUCACUUUGUUGCUGGCUGUUUGCAAGAGGCUUUCCUGACUCAUCAACAAAGUAUAUGGUCAACGUUUUAUGUGUUCCCCAAUUUGAAAGGUCAUCUUGUGGACAUGGGGGUCAUGCAGUCCUGUGACAAGAGAGAAACAAUAGCCUCACCUCCCUGACACCCCAAGAAGCUUUGCCAUUUUCUAACCCACCAGUGGUCGCUAUCUUAUAGUAAAUUUGUAUGAGUCUUUCCCAAAUGGAAUAAAGCACUGUCUUAAGCUUGUGGAAAAAUCAAACAACU